CCUACGGGAGGCAGCAGUGGGGAAUUUUGGACAAUGGGCGCAAGCCUGAUCCAGCUAUUCCGCGUGUGGGAUGACGGCCCUCGGGUUGUAAACCACUUUAGUUGAGAACGAAAAGUAGCUCUCGAAUACAUAUCUCUGCUGACGGUACUCUAAGAAUACGCACCGCCUAACUACGUGCCCGCAGCCGCGGUAAUACGUAGGGUGCGAGCGUUAAUCGGAAUUACUGGGCGUAAAGGGUGUGCAGUCGGCUGAGUAAGACAGAUGUGAAAUCCCCGGGCUUAACCUGGGAACCGCAUAUGUGACUGGUUGGCUAGAGUGCGUCAGAGGGAGGUGGAAUUCCACGUGUAGCAGUGAAAUGCGUAGAUAUGGGGAAGAACACCGAUGGCGAAGGCAGCCUACUGGGACGCAACUGACGCUCAUACACGAAAGCGUGGGGAGCAAACAGGAUUAGAUACCCUUGUAGUC
Molecule: ribosomal RNA, 465 nt
Filed under: uncultured bacterium
Lineage: Bacteria
Description: partial 16S ribosomal RNA
Rfam family: Bacterial small subunit ribosomal RNA
Source: RNAcentral